Long non-coding RNA from Cygnus olor (mute swan), 1871 nucleotides. RefSeq lists it as uncharacterized. The transcript is spliced from 4 exons. NCBI's taxonomy places the organism in Eukaryota, Metazoa, Chordata, Aves, Anseriformes, Anatidae. The record is from RefSeq and is a predicted model, not a curated record.
CGGCUGGAGCAUGGCAGGGGGGAGGCUUCGGGGAGGCAUUGGGAAGAAAUUCUUCCCUCUGAGGGUGCUGAGGCCCUGGCCCAGGGGGCCAUCAAUAUUAGGGGUCUGUAGGCUCAGGCACUGGCAACUGCAGAGACUGGGUGCAUGACUGUUGUGUAGGUGUGGUCUGUAACCAUGGCAAAUUUCGAACCGGACCAGAACACCAAGUAGGAGAAGAGGACUGGGAGCCAUAUAUUGGAGUGGUCAUUUUUUUUGCUGGACCAGAUACUUGAGAGACCUGGGGUUCUGUGAAUUGGUUAAUGUAAGAAACUGGGGAUCCAAUGCAGCUACUGGGCAGAGCCUGAGGUCUGGGGUCAGCUGCUGCUAAGGCCACAGGUCCGGACCAACUGUGAUAGAAGACCCAUUGCACAUGUGUGUCUGUGCACAAGAUGACUGGAAGACCAGAGGAACCAGAGGUAGCUACUGGACAGACUGAGUGCCUAAGGCCAAUCUCCUCCAGCUCAAAAUGCUCUGCCAGCCCGUGACCUCCUUGCCUUUGGUUCUCAAGGAUACAACAGUGCCUGCCUUCUCUCUUGGAUGCAUGCUUAGAUGAUUGCAAUAACUUUACUAUUGGUGGUAAUUUACUUCUGUGGGACCGGCAAUUAGCACUAAAAGCACUUCAAUCAAGUUAACCAAAGAAAUAAAGAGCAGGGAAAAUAGAGAGAGAGAAGGUAUGCUGGGAAACCAUUUCCAAUUCGACUGGGUAAUUCUCAGAAUUUGAUGUGUAACAUCUUUACCAAGAAAUGUUUUCUCAGCCCAGGUUCUGUGGACUCCCAAACACCAGAGGAAACUCCACCUAAGUCCUUGCAGGGAAAGAUCUGGCUCAUCAGCAAAAUACAGACCUUACCUUGCGUGUGGCUCCCCUUGUGCCAGGAUUUGGACUUGCACAUGGGUGACAGAAGUGUCUCAGUGACACCGGUGCAUCUGGUGACAUUGCUGAUGGCUGUGCAACCUCCCCUGACAUCUACGGAGGACAUGAAACGUGCUGCUCACUGGUUCUGGUAAUUCACAGUAAAGCACACAGAGAAAUAAGGGAUUUGGGUCCUUAUUUACGUGAAGCCUUAUCAAGCCUGAGUGAAAACAAGAAUUAGACCCAAAAUGUGCAAGUAUCUGGCCUCUGGUCAAGAGUGAAGUGCUUCAGGGGGCUGGGUUGGGUGACAGCACGUUUGGAAAUGCUUUAUCUGCAGGAGGGCAAGAGGGAGAGCUAUGGUCAGGGCAGGCUGCAGACCGGCAGCAGGGGAUGCCGAAGCACCGAUCCUUCAGUUUUAAACAAACAUGAGCUCUGCAAUGCCAUUGUUUUGCAGAGAUUGUGUUACUUGACAUCAUUGCAGGCUGCUGAAAUCCAGCCAGCUCGUUGGUGCCUGGCCAGCUCCCUCAGGUGUCUCUUCCCCACCACAUGGAGGUGGAGGGGCCAUGACAAGGGGAGGCACUGAGGGAUUUGCACCCCUCAUCUCCCACGUGCUACGAGACGUGGCAGGGAAGUCCUGCCCAUGAGGCAAGGUCCCAUGCACAACCGAUGGGCACAGCAAGGGAUUUUCCCAGCUUUCCAUCACCAGGAGGUUGGGCGCGGGGAGGGAAGGUGUUGUAUCAUUGACCCUCAUCCACCUGGGCUUCAGCUCUGGCCACUGGGCUGAAAAAUAAAUGCCUUAUGGAUGUUUCUGGAGGUGAUGCUCUCAGAGCUUGUGAUAUCCUGAGUUACAUUUCUGUGCAUGGAUCACGCCCACGUCAUUAGGUCUCCUGGAAUUCAUUUUUGCUGAUAAGCAUUUGCGACACAUGCAAGCUUUUAGAAACACUCUAAUUAAUAGAAAGAAAAAAUAAACACUACAACUGAA